UACAGAGGCCCCAAGCGUUACUGAGAAUCACUGGGUUUAAAGGGUGCGUAGGUGGUCCGUUAAGUUCGUUGUGAAAGCCCUGGGCUCAACCCAGGAACUGCUUCGAAUACUGGCGGACUUGAGGCUAGUAGAGGUCACUGGAACUGACGGUGGAGCGGUGAAAUGCGUAGAUAUCGUCAGGAACGCCAAUGGUGAAGACAGGUGACUGGGCUAGUUCUGACACUGAGGCACGAAAGCGUGGGGAGCGAACAGG
This 253-nucleotide ribosomal RNA is filed under the name uncultured bacterium. RNAcentral describes it as "partial 16S ribosomal RNA". It matches the Rfam family "Bacterial small subunit ribosomal RNA", at positions 524 to 776 of the family's 1533-position model. The record is from RNAcentral.